RNAcentral lists this ribosomal RNA (467 nucleotides) under uncultured bacterium. RNAcentral describes it as "partial 16S ribosomal RNA". It matches the Rfam family "Bacterial small subunit ribosomal RNA", at positions 28 to 506 of the family's 1533-position model. The record is from RNAcentral.
GACGAACGCUGGCGGCGUGCUUAACACAUGCAAGUCGAACGGAAAGGCCCUGCUUUUGUGGGGUGCUCGAGUGGCGAACGGGUGAGUAACACGUGAGUAACCUGCCCUUGACUUUGGGAUAACUUCAGGAAACUGGGGCUAAUACCGGAUAGGAGCUCCUGCUGCAUGGUGGGGGUUGGAAAGUUUCGGCGGUUGGGGAUGGACUCGCGGCUUAUCAGCUUGUUGGUGGGGUAGUGGCUUACCAAGGCUUUGACGGGUAGCCGGCCUGAGAGGGUGACCGGCCACAUUGGGACUGAGAUACGGCCCAGACUCCUACGGGAGGCAGCAGGGGGGAAUAUGGCACAAUGGGCGGAAGCCUGAUGCAGCAACGCCGCGUGCGGGAUGACGGCCUUCGGGUUGUAAACCGCUUUCGCCUGUGACGAAGCGUGAGUGACGGUAAUGGGUAAAGAAGCACCGGCUAACUACGU